AACGAACGCUGGCGGCAUGCCUAACACAUGCAAGUCGAACGAGACCUUCGGGUCUAGUGGCGCACGGGUGCGUAACGCGUGGGAACCUGCCCUUAGGUUCGGAAUAACUCUCCGAAAGGGGUGCUAAUACCGGAUAAUGUCUUCGGACCAAAGAUUUAUCGCCGUUGGUUGGGCCCGCGUUGGAUUAGCUAGUUGGUAGGGUAAAAGCCUACCAAGGCGACGAUCCAUAGCUGGUCUGAGAGGAUGAUCAGCCACACUGGGACUGAGACACGGCCCAGACUCCUACGGGAGGCAGCAGUGGGGAAUAUUGGACAAUGGGCGAAAGCCUGAUCCAGCAAUGCCGCGUGAGUGAUGAAGGCCUGAGAGUUGUAAAGCUCUUUUACCCGGGAUGAUAAUGACAGUACCGGAAGAAUAAGCUCCGGCUAACUCCGUG
Molecule: ribosomal RNA, 433 nt
Filed under: uncultured bacterium
Lineage: Bacteria
Description: partial 16S ribosomal RNA
Rfam family: Bacterial small subunit ribosomal RNA
Source: RNAcentral